UUGAUGUAAGAAAAGGUUUCAACAGAUUAACUUGUUUUCUUAUGAUAGAGAUACCAGAAAAGGAAACAAACUUUUAUAUAUAGAAGUUUUUAACCAGGGUUUUUUUUCCUGCAAUGUUUUAGUUGGUGAAAUUUCUGGAGGAGAAAUAGAUUUCUUGGAAUAAGAAUGAAGACAGAAUAUCUUGUUGAUUACAAAAUUCUGAAGAGGGAAAAUAUUUAGAGGGAAAAUGUUUAGAACUGACAAGAAGGGACAAACAACAUGAAGAUGUCCGGCCCUGGUGCUCUUCAUGGUGGGUCACAAGCCCUGUGAGGUGAUCAGAAACAAAAGCUAUUUCUGAAGUACAAAAUCUAGAUAUGGGGUAAAAAGAAUAUCACGUUGUAAAUGGUCAGAGUGCAUAUACACUCAUUUCAUGGCACAGCCAUGCCACCUUAACACAUUGUUACUUAAGAACCCUAGCUAAUAAAUAAGCAUAAUCAAACACAAGAUUAGAGUACAUCAGGUGCCUAUGCUCCACCUAUUAAAAAAUGAUACCAUAUCUUUACCUGUGGGUAUGCCUGAAUCUACCAAGUACAAAGUCCAUGGGGUAAAAGAUGAUACCCAUUCAUGCAGACCAUGGCGCACCAGUCACUGAGUUGGAACUCUGGACAAAGGGCUUUGGCUAACACAUCCCAGUGCAUUUAUGUAGCCACCCUGCCUGCAUGGUUUAGCUUUUCAUGACACUUGAUGCUGAAUGAUGUCUUGAAAUGAUGGGUGAUUUUGCACAAAUUGUUCCAGAGAAGACUAAAGAAGAAAGGAUGGGGUGGUGAUAAACAUAUCCAAGUAGAUUUAUAUUGACUGAUUUAACUACAGCAUGUAGUAUGUACUUAAGUAGUUGCUGCUGGCAGUAUAAAGGCUUUACAAUAACACAGCAUCCAUCACUGAAAGGUAAAGUGGAGGGAUUUUUAUUUUAAAUCUCUCAGGAGGAAAUUGAUGCCUUAGAAAAUCUGCAAGGCUUGAGUCAUCAAGUCUUCACUGUCAGCGGGCAUGUCUUUCAGACACUUCACCUUAUCUCACUGUGACUCACACACCAGGGAAGGAUGCACACCAUGGCAAAAAAUUGCACCCUCCUCUGUGUGAUAGACACAGCUGAAAAAAUUACAGGGCCUGAAGCAACUACUAGAUUAGAAAGAGAGCUGCCAUCCGAGAAGCCUGUUUCUCAUCACAUCCAUGACAGCGAGGUUCUGCAAGACCUCAGUCUCUCUCAACUUUUCACAGAACUGCAGAAUUGUUAGAGCUGGAAGAAAUGUCUGGAGAUCAUCUGGUCCAGACCCUCUCCCAAAACAGGGUCACCUGAAGCAGGUGGCACAGGAAUGCAUCCAGAUUAUGGCCACUGCUCCUUGUCCUGUCUCUGGGCAUCAUUGAAAAAAUUUGGCACCAUCCUCUUGACAUCCAUCCUUUGAGAUAGUUAUAUGUAUUAAU
Molecule: long non-coding RNA, 1458 nt
Organism: Oenanthe melanoleuca
Lineage: Eukaryota; Metazoa; Chordata; Aves; Passeriformes; Muscicapidae
Exons: 3
Source: RefSeq, a predicted model, not a curated record